CCUACGGGAGGCAGCAGUGAGGAAUAUUGGUCAAUGGACGAGAGUCUGAACCAGCCAAGUAGCGUGAAGGAUGACUGCCCUAUGGGUUGUAAACUUCUUUUAUAUGGGAAUAAAACGUUCCACGUGUGGGAUUUUGUAUGUACCAUAUGAAUAAGGAUCGGCUAACUCCGUGCCAGCAGCCGCGGUAAUACGGAGGAUCCGAGCGUUAUCCGGAUUUAUUGGGUUUAAAGGGAGCGUAGGUGGAUUGUUAAGUCAGUGGUGAAAGUUUGCGGCUUAACUGUAGAAGUGCAGUUGAUACUGGUAGUCUUGAGUACAGUAGAGGUGGGCGGAAUUCGUGGUGUAGCGGUGAAAUGCUUAGAGAUCACGAAGAACGCCGAUUGCGAAGGCAGUUCACUGGACUGCAACUGACACUGAGGCGCGAAAGUGUGGGGAUCAAACAGGAUUAGAUACCCUUGUAGUC
RNAcentral lists this ribosomal RNA (460 nucleotides) under uncultured bacterium. RNAcentral describes it as "partial 16S ribosomal RNA". It matches the Rfam family "Bacterial small subunit ribosomal RNA", at positions 338 to 795 of the family's 1533-position model. The record is from RNAcentral.